RNAcentral lists this long non-coding RNA (200 nucleotides) under Elaeis guineensis (African oil palm). RNAcentral describes it as "long non-coding RNA (EGUI_LNC072039)". The record is from RNAcentral. Lineage: Eukaryota; Viridiplantae; Streptophyta; Magnoliopsida; Arecales; Arecaceae.
AGGAAGGGGUCGUGUCUUCGCAGUACCCUUAUUCUUAAAGGAGUGCUCAACAGGACUGUCUCUGGUCAUCUUCUCCGACAUCUUCUUCUCCUUUUCCUGUCAGAUCUCCACCUGAUGCCUCCCCAAAAGGCACCCACCAGGCGAUCCACAGCCUCCGCGAUGAGAUCUCAGCGGGCUCCGCAAGCUCCAACCUCGUCUCC